CGCGGCCUAUCAGCUUGUUGGUGAGGUAACGGCUCACCAAGGCAUCGACGGGUAGCUGGUCUGAGAGGACGAUCAGCCGCACUGGGACUGAGACACGGCCCAGACUCCUACGGGAGGCAGCAGUAGGGAAUCUUGCGCAAUGGGCGAAAGCCUGACGCAGCAACGCCACGUGGGGGACGAAGGCCCUCGGGUUGAACCCCUUUCAGCAGGGACGAAAAUGACGGUACCUGCAGAAGAAGCCCCGGCCAACUACGUGCCAGCAGCCGCGGUAAUACGUAGGGGGCAAGCGUUGUCCGGAUUUAUUGGGCGUAAAGAGCUCGUAGGCGGUUCGGUAAGUCGGGUGUGAAAAUCCAAGGCUCAACCUUGGGACGCCACCCGAUACUGCUGUGACUAGAGUCCGGUAGAGGAGUGUGGAAUUCCUGGUGUAGCGGUGAAAUGCGCAGAUAUCAGGAGGAACACCUGCGGCGAAGGCGGCACUCUGGGCCGGUACUGACGCUGAGGAGCGAAAGCAUGGGGAGCAAGCAGGAUUAGAUACCCUGGUAGUCCAUGCCGUAAACGUUGGGCACUAGGUAUGGGGUCUUAUCAACGGAUUCCGUGCCGUAGCUAACGCAUUAAGUGCCCCGCCUGGGGAGUACGG
This 637-nucleotide ribosomal RNA is filed under the name uncultured Actinomycetes bacterium. Its description in RNAcentral is "bacterial SSU rRNA". It matches the Rfam family "Bacterial small subunit ribosomal RNA", at positions 232 to 885 of the family's 1533-position model. Lineage: Bacteria; Bacillati; Actinomycetota; Actinomycetes. The record is from RNAcentral.